This 448-nucleotide ribosomal RNA is filed under the name uncultured bacterium. RNAcentral describes it as "bacterial SSU rRNA". It matches the Rfam family "Bacterial small subunit ribosomal RNA", at positions 329 to 794 of the family's 1533-position model. The record is from RNAcentral.
UUCCAGACUCCUACGGGAGGCAGCAGUGGGGAAUAUUGCACAAUGGGGGAAACCCUGAUGCAGCGACGCCGCGUGAGUGAGGAAGUAUUUCGGUAUGUAAAGCUCUAUCAGCAGGGAAGAAAAUGACGGUACCUGACUAAGAAGCCCCGGCUAACUACGUGCCAGCAGCCGCGGUAAUACGUAGGGGGCAAGCGUUAUCCGGAUUUACUGGGUGUAAAGGGAGCGUAGACGGCAUGGCAAGUCAGAUGUGAAAGCCCGGGGCUCAACCCCGGGACUGCAUUUGAAACUGUCAGGCUGGAGUGCAGGAGAGGUAAGUGGAAUUCCUAGUGUAGCGGUGAAAUGCGUAGAUAUUAGGAGGAACACCAGUGGCGAAGGCGGCUUACUGGACUGUAACUGACGUUGAGGCUCGAAAGCGUGGGGAGCAAACAGGAUUAGAUACCCUAGUAGA